Nematostella vectensis (starlet sea anemone) is the source of this 82-nucleotide non-coding RNA. The record is from Rfam. NCBI's taxonomy places the organism in Eukaryota, Metazoa, Cnidaria, Anthozoa, Actiniaria, Edwardsiidae.
GUUGCGGUGGCCGAGUGGUUAAGGCGUUGGACUUGAAAUCCAAUGGGAUCUUCCCGCGCAGGUUCGAACCCUGGCCGCAACG